This 873-nucleotide ribosomal RNA is filed under the name uncultured bacterium. RNAcentral describes it as "bacterial SSU rRNA". It matches the Rfam family "Bacterial small subunit ribosomal RNA", at positions 28 to 917 of the family's 1533-position model. The record is from RNAcentral.
GAUGAAUGCUAGCAGAACGCCUAACACAUGCAAGUCGAACGGACUUGUUGCUUCGGUAACAAGUUAGUGGCAAACGGGCGAGUAACACGUGCUUAAUUUGCCCCGAAGAGGUGGACAACUACGGAGACGUAGCUAAACCACCAUACGCUCAUGGGAAUGAAAAUACCAUGAGGAAACGAUUUAUCGCUUUGGGAGAAGGGCGCGGCCUAUCAGGUUGUUGGUGAGGUAACGGCUCACCAAGCCUAUGACGGGUAACCGGUCUGAGAGGAUGUCCGGUCGCAAUGGAACUGAGACACGGUCCAUACCCCUACGGGGGGCAGCAGUGGGGAAUCUUGGUCAAUGGGCGAAAGCCUGAACCAGCGAUUCUGCGUGAAGGAUGAAGCCUCGCGGGGUGUAAACUUCUUUUUUGAGGGAAGACGAAUGACGGUACCCCACGAAUAAGGGACGGCUAACUACGUGCCAGCAGCCGCGGUAAUACGUAGGUCCCAAGCAUUAUCCGGAUUUACUGGGCGUAAAGGGUCUGUAGCUGGUUAUAUAAGUCUAUUUUCAAAUCCCUUGGCUCAACUAAGGAAAGGGAAUGGAUACUAUAUAUCUGGAGGUUAUUAGGGGUUAGUAGAAUUCCCGGUGGAGGGGUGAAAUCCGUUGAUAUUGGGAGGAAUGCCGAAAGCGAAAGCAGCUAACUAUAAUUAUCCUGACAGUGAGAGACGAAAGCAUGGGUAGCAAACGGGAUUAGAUACCCCGGUAGUCCAUGCCGUAAACUAUGCUUGCUAAGUGUCUUAAGAGACUUGAUCUCUGGGGUACUGUAACCUAACGGGUUAAGCAAGCCGCCUGGGUAGUACAGUCGCAAGACUGAAACUCAAAGGAAUAGGCGGG